GACGAACCGUGCAAACGUUGUUCGGAAUCACUGGGCUUAAAGGGCGCGUAGGCGGGCCAUCAAGUCCGGGGUGAAAUCCCCCAGCUUAACUGGGGAAGUGCCUUGGAUACUGGUGGCCUCGAGGAGGGUAGGGGCAUCUGGAACGUUGGGUGGAGCGGUGAAAUGCGCAGAUAUCAGGAGGAACACCGAUGGCGAAGGCAGGUCUCUGGGCAUUAACUGACGCUGAGGAGCGAAAGCAUGGGGAGCGAACAGG
This 253-nucleotide ribosomal RNA is filed under the name uncultured bacterium. RNAcentral describes it as "partial 16S ribosomal RNA". It matches the Rfam family "Bacterial small subunit ribosomal RNA", at positions 524 to 776 of the family's 1533-position model. The record is from RNAcentral.